UACGCAGGGGACUAGCGUUGUUCGGAAUUACUGGGCGUAAAGCGCACGUAGGCGGAUUUGUUAGUCAGGGGUGAAAUCCCGGGGCUCAACCUCGGAACUGCCUUUGAUACUGCAAAUCUCGAGUCCGAUAGAGGUGGGUGGAAUUCCUAGUGUAGAGGUGAAAUUCGUAGAUAUUAGGAAGAACACCGGUGGCGAAGGCGGCCCACUGGAUCGGUACUGACGCUGAGGUGCGAAAGCGUGGGGAGCAAACAGG
This 253-nucleotide ribosomal RNA is filed under the name uncultured bacterium. RNAcentral's name for it is "partial 16S ribosomal RNA". It matches the Rfam family "Bacterial small subunit ribosomal RNA", at positions 524 to 776 of the family's 1533-position model. The record is from RNAcentral.